UGGGGAAUAUUGGACAAUGGGCGAAAGCCUGAUCCAGCCAUGCCGCGUGAGUGAUGAAGACCCUAGGGUUGUAAAGCCCUUUUGUGCGGGAAGAUAAUGACGGUACCGCAAGAAUAAGCCCCGGCUAACUUCGUGCCAGCAGCCGCGGUAAUACGAAGGGGGCUAGCGUUGCUCGGAAUCACUGGGCGUAAAGGGUGCGUAGGCGGGUUUCUAAGUCAGAGGUGAAAGCCUGGAGCUCAACUCCAGAACUGCCUUUGAUACUGGAAGUCUUGAGUUCGGGAGAGGUGAGUGGAACUGCGAGUGUAGAGGUGAAAUUCGUAGAUAUUCGCAAGAACACCAGUGGCGAAGGCGGCUCACUGGCCCGAUACUGACGCUGAGGCACGAAAGCGUGGGGAGCAAACA
RNAcentral lists this ribosomal RNA (402 nucleotides) under uncultured bacterium. RNAcentral describes it as "bacterial SSU rRNA". It matches the Rfam family "Bacterial small subunit ribosomal RNA", at positions 355 to 774 of the family's 1533-position model. The record is from RNAcentral.